Molecule: non-coding RNA, 231 nt
Organism: Vicia faba (fava bean)
Lineage: Eukaryota; Viridiplantae; Streptophyta; Magnoliopsida; Fabales; Fabaceae
Source: the annotation of a GenBank genome assembly
AUGCAUCACAAUUCAAACAUUGCUUGUCACUCAUCAAAUUCAUUCAUGAUCAUUACAAGAAUACUUCAUACAAAUAAUCCCAUUUCUAUCCUGAGUUCCAAGACAUGUUCAUCAAGACAAGUUCAUUCAGAUUCUUUACAGAGAGACAAAUUUAAUCAAAUUCCAUUCAAAUUCAUUCAAGGUCACAUACAAAGAUCCUGUCACAGGCUACACUACAACAAACCACAUUGA